GAAAUGUACGGCAGCCCCACCAGACACCCGGCUAUUAAUAGAGCCCGGGAGUUUGCUCUCUUGUCUUUUUCCUGCCACCGAGUAAGGGAUGAUCUUCACACACAUACCCCACUCCACCCCCACCUCGGCGCACCGUUUCUCCGGGAAGGUAUGUUCUUGGUGGUGGUUUUUAACUGGAGAAUAUCGGCAGAAAUGAAAGUUCUACUAAGAAUCAGCAGAAACAUGCACUUCCUCGAACCAAGAGACUCCUGCCUUCAUUAUGGUAUACACACAUCUGAAACCUCUUGACUCUAUGCCUGUUUGGGGAACUAUGCAGCCCCUAGCUAGGAGGUGGAGAAGUCUACAUGAAGAGCACAGACACAGGCCCAAGAAGUCAGUCCCUGAGCUGGUCUCCAUGGCAAAGGAAUUCAGGAGAUCACCUCAGAUCAGAAUCCUUUUGGACAGACUUUACCCCAAGCCACCAUUCAAAAAGGCUUCUUCCCCAAUUUGAUCUUUGUGUUGUUCCAGAAAACUGCUUUCAUUGAUGUCUCAUCUGCCUGGAAUCUAGAGGAUUUUUGGCUGGCCCCUAAUUGGUGACAAUCAGCCUUUGACCCUUGACCAACUCCAGAGACAGAAAGUCUCCUUACAGUCUAUUCUGGUUCACUUGGGGAUCUUCUUUAUGUAAAAUGGCACUCUUCUGGGCCAAACACCUGCUGCUUUCUUGUUCACUAAUGUGUG
Canis lupus familiaris (dog) is the source of this 717-nucleotide long non-coding RNA. RefSeq lists it as uncharacterized. The transcript has 3 exons. The record is from RefSeq and is a predicted model, not a curated record. Lineage: Eukaryota; Metazoa; Chordata; Mammalia; Carnivora; Canidae.